This 314-nucleotide unclassified non-coding RNA is filed under the name plant metagenome. Its description in RNAcentral is "partial contains 5.8S ribosomal RNA, internal transcribed spacer 2, and large subunit ribosomal RNA". The stretch from base 1 to 105 matches the Rfam family "5.8S ribosomal RNA", at positions 50 to 154 of the family's 154-position model. The record is from RNAcentral.
GAAAUGCGAUAAUUAAUGUGAAUUGCAGAAUUCAGUGAAUCAUCGAGUCUUUGAACGCACAUUGCGCCCCCUGGUAUUCCGGGGUGCAUGCCUGUCCGAGCGUCAUUGCUGCCCUCAAGCACGGCUUGUGUGUUGGGCUUCCGUCCCUGGCAACAGGGACGGGCCCAAAAGGCAGUGGCGGCACCAUGUCUGGUCCUCGAGCGUAUGGGGCUUUGUCACCCGCUCCCGUAGGUCCAGCUGGCAGCUAGCCUCGCAACCAAUCUUUUUAACCAGGUUGACCUCGGAUCAGGUAGGGAUACCCGCUGAACUUAAGC